This 137-nucleotide ribosomal RNA is filed under the name Jaculus jaculus (lesser Egyptian jerboa). Lineage: Eukaryota; Metazoa; Chordata; Mammalia; Rodentia; Dipodidae. The record is from RNAcentral.
GUCUACGGCCAUACCACCCUGAAUUCGCCUGAUCUCGUCUGAUCUCAGAAGCUAAGCAGGAUUAAGCCUGGUUAAUGCUUGGAUGGGAGAAUCAGAUAUAGAGAACUUUCAGGGCAAAAACUCAUAAGCAGAAGACA